This 63-nucleotide transfer RNA is filed under the name marine eukaryotic metagenome. It matches the Rfam family "tRNA", at positions 6 to 65 of the family's 71-position model. From Rfam's summary of the family: Transfer RNA (tRNA) molecules are approximately 80 nucleotides in length. Their secondary structure includes four short double-helical elements and three loops (D, anti-codon, and T loops). Further hydrogen bonds mediate the characteristic L-shaped molecular structure. tRNAs have two regions of fundamental functional importance: the anti-codon, which is responsible for specific mRNA codon recognition, and the 3' end, to which the tRNAs corresponding amino acid is attached (by aminoacyl-tRNA synthetases). tRNAs cope with the degeneracy of the genetic code in two manners: having more than one tRNA (with a specific anti-codon) for a particular amino acid; and 'wobble' base-pairing, i.e. permitting non-standard base-pairing at the 3rd anti-codon position. The record is from RNAcentral.
AGUAACUCAGUGGAUAGAGUGACUGCCUUCUAAGCAGUAGGUCGCAGGUUCGAAUCCUGCCUG